UACGGAGGGUGCAAGCGUUAUCCGGAAUCACUGGGUUUAAAGGGUGCGUAGGCGGCUAUGUAAGUCAGUUGUGAAAUACCUCGGCUUAACCGAAGGAAGUGCGAUUGAUACUGCGUAGCUUGAAUCAGGCUGAGGUAGGCGGAAUGUGACAUGUAGCGGUGAAAUGCUUAGAUAUGUCAUAGAACACCGAUUGCGAAGGCAGCUUACUGGGCUUUGAUUGACGCUGAGGCACGAAAGCGUGGGGAGCAAACAGG
This 254-nucleotide ribosomal RNA is filed under the name uncultured bacterium. Its description in RNAcentral is "partial 16S ribosomal RNA". It matches the Rfam family "Bacterial small subunit ribosomal RNA", at positions 524 to 776 of the family's 1533-position model. The record is from RNAcentral.